Molecule: transfer RNA, 70 nt
Filed under: Allobates talamancae (Talamanca rocket frog)
Lineage: Eukaryota; Metazoa; Chordata; Amphibia; Anura; Aromobatidae
Description: tRNA-Val
Source: RNAcentral
CAGAGUAUAGCUUAACCUAAAGUCUUUUGCUUACACCAAAAUCAUGUUUGUGAAAACCAAACUACUCUGA